AAUUUUUUACUAGUUAGCAUAAUAAUAAAAAAGGCAGAAGAUAAAAAACUUUUAUGCGGCGCAUCAAGUGACCAUCUAGAAAAAAAAAGUGAUAUACGGUGUAAUCAUAUUUCUACCCUCAACCUUCGUUCGUGUCUUGUAUCACAAUUUUGCGCGAUAGCUUAUUUUCGAUCACUUCAAUACUGUUCGACGCGCGUAACUAUCUCGCGAGCUAUCGGAGCAACGUUGGGCUUUUCGCUUUUACGACCCAAGCUACCGGGUAUAACGUUCAUUUAUAAUACGUAUACACGUGAAGACCGGAACACGUACGCAAGCGUACGUUCGCGAAGAGCGAAGACCGAAGACCGAAGAGGAGGCCGAGAAGGAAGGUCACUCGAUAAUGCUCUCGACGACGACGUGGCCAUUAACCGUGCGAGGAGACGAGGGAUGCGAAACGAGGUGGAGGCGGUGUGUGUGUUCCCUUGCGAUCGCUCGCUCGCUCGGAUGCACGCCCAGGCAUCAGACGUCCUACAUCGAUCACAUCAUCGGUCGAAGGUUCUUCCCGAUACACGCGAUAGGCCCAUCGAUAUAAAUGGAUUUGAGCGAGUCGCGCUCGUUACGACGUUAGUAGAUGAGAAAAUAGAUGAGACGAUUCGAGACACGCCGACGGCGAAGAUCGUGAGUUCGCUUUUCCCGAACACCAUUUUUGCCGCCGUUCAUUCUAAGGAAAUAAAUGUAGUCUCUCUCUCUCUCUCUCUCUCUCUCUCUCUCUCUCUCUUUCGCGCGCGUGUGCGCGAGAGACGUAAACGUCUGUUCGCGUAAGUGUAAACAUAUGUCAUAGCGCGCGUAAAGCGUCGAUCGUAAAAUAUGAGCGACCAUAUUUUACCUAUCUUACGGAGGCAUUACGAACGCAAUUGCGCGGAACCCACUCCCCCCGGCACCUCUGAAAUAUUUUAUGCGCACAAAGUAGAUGGUGCUGAUGCGAUUUUGUCAAAGGUCCCGCUCGUUUAAAACAUUAACGUUCACGCGAGGCGGCUGAAGGUGUACUGAAGAAUACGUGGAGGACACGGUGCGUGCGAUAUGGAACAUGUCAAUGGGACACCUAUCGAUUAUUUGAACUACACACGCUCGCAAUACCGCUGAAAAUCGAAAAGUCACGGUCACUGGCGCAUUUUUAUUAAUACAUGCAAACAUAUUCACGCGAAGCAUUAUCAUUAAGCCAUUCACAGUCGAAACAAGAAAGUCGAACUUGAACCUGUUAUGUGAUUUUUUUUUACUACGCGUAAAGUCACGAAGAAUAUUACGAAAUUUUUUCGUCAUUUCGUUUAUAGCAUCAAACAAAAUAGUCGUCGACCAUAAAAUUGCCAAUUUACAAUUUAAACAAUUUGAUUAAAGGUCAGACAAUUCGAUGUUAUCUAAUAUAAUAUGUUCAGAAUUUCGAUACCAUAUCUAAUUAGAUUUGCUUGGUUUUAUUUACCGCGUGGUGCAUGCCAUUCAAUUACCGGCGAUAAAUUGAUUUUCCGUUCUCUGUUCGUUAAAUAUUCCCGUUUAACGUACGUCGCAUCGUGUAGAAAUAUAUGUCGUAUAAAUAAUACCUAAGAAAUCGCUCGUCUUAAUUAUUUACGUUCGUAUGUUUUAUCUACGAUGUAAAAUAGUAUUACAAAUAAUAUUACGAUUGAAUAAAUGAAAUUAUAAUCCAUCUUACCGCUAGACGCGUUUGUCAGCGGUAAGAUAAAUUAUCAUUUUACGUCGGAUUCAGUCACAGUAUUAUUCAUCGUCGAGUUUGUUGGAUUAAAAAUUAACCCAUUAGUCUCCGUUAAAGUUGCAACAAAAAAAAACAAUUGAAAAUAAAAUUAGAACAUAAAAAAAUACUUCUGAUAUAAAAAACACAUUACAAAAAUUAAUUUUGCAAUAAAUAGUUAUAAAACAGAUUAUUUGCAGUUUUUUGUAAAAUUAAUUCUUGUAAUGUGCUUUUUAUGUCAAAAAUGUGUGAUACUCUGGUUCUAUUUCCAGUUGUUUUUUUUAGACUUGCUGGUCUAACCAUCGACUUUAAUGAGAAGGGUAUGGAACAUGGGAAUGCGUUAUUAUUGUUGUCCAAGUAAAACUUAAUUACGAAUACGCGAUGUACUGUUAAUGACCCUUAUAACUCGUUCUCCUCUCCCCCCCCCUCUCUCUCUCUCUCUCUCUCUCUCUCUCUCUCUCUCUGGGCGAUGGUCCAUCGUUAAACAAAUUUAUCGAGUUAAGACGCGACGUAGUGCUCCUCGAGCACCUAACUGCAUCGUAAAUUAGACGAAAAUGCUACCGCUCUUGCGCUCUCUCUCUCUCCUCUCCUCCUUCUCAUAAUAAACGCUCUCUUUCGCAUAACCGACAUAUUCGUGCAUAUGUACGAUAGCUACGUUUGAGCUAAGCUCAAACUGAGUCGCACACUUGGGAAUUUUCUUCGCAACAAAGUUUCUUGAAAUAGCAAGUAGACUUCUUUUCAACUGUAGUUUCCAGACUUCUUGUGCAUUUAGAAUGAGAUAAGGAUAUAUUCAACAUUUGGAUCGAAAGAAGGGAAGAAAAAACUUAUUAAGAAAGAUAUAUGGAUGAAUUCUAUCAGAACGCUACUUCUCCAAGAUGGUGCAAUAAUCAGACGUAUAUCUAACAAAUGUAAUUAAUUGGAACGAGAAACUCGCGAAUAAGAGAAUUCGUUCUGCGAAAUUGAAUUUGUAAUCGUUGAAAUGAAGGGUUAGAUUGAAAUUGUCUGAAUUUUCUAUCGUUUUCCGCUCUCGACACCUACUACGACAUCACUUCGCAAAUAAUUAGACAAAUAAUUCCUUGAAUUUCUUCUGCAAGGUGCACCAGAAUUAAAUGUCCAAUUUAUAAUAAAAAGCAAUUCUAUUCUAAUUUAUUUUGAAAAGGUAAAUUACGUAACUCCGUUAAAACAACUAAAUAAACAGAAAAAUAAAUUCUAAAAAGUUAAAAAAAACUCGAAAACUUGCAAGUUAAUUUUAUUAAGCUAAGAUCAAGGAGUUUAUCUCUUUACACGAUAAAUCAUUAAUUUCUUCCAAUUCAAUUACUAGAGAAUAUGUUUCAGCAACGUGCGCGCCUUUCGUGAUAACCAAUCGCGCGAUGCACUUUCGUCAAUUAAAUCUACAUUUACACUAAACGGGAAUACAUUUCGAGACCAUCUCAUUUAUAUUUAACAGUGCUAGAAUAAACGCGAUCUUCAUAUUACAUAGAUGAAACUUUGAAUCGCAUGACUAGGCGAGCGUUAAACGCAUCGCUAAUCAGAGACAAGGGCGACCUAUUUCGUAUUUAACGCUAAACGCGACCAUCGCUGAUCCUGAAUUUUCUAUGUCUUAUAUAAAGAUCGUAUCUGCCGCCGCAUCAUUACGUCGGAUCGAAUAGUCACAUCAGAUAGUGACAUUUAGCGCUAGAAGUAUGAUACAAAUAAAAAGUAAUGUGCUAAAUCAUGAUUUAUGGCGCGAGCUUAUUCUAUUAUCGUGUGAAAGCAUGCAAACGCUCGGAGCUAGACUCGGAACGGCUGAAUUAUAUAAAAAUUGAUAACGUACGGUGAGUAAAAAAAAAAAAAAA
RNAcentral lists this long non-coding RNA (3555 nucleotides) under Monomorium pharaonis (pharaoh ant). RNAcentral describes it as "uncharacterized LOC118645076". Lineage: Eukaryota; Metazoa; Arthropoda; Insecta; Hymenoptera; Formicidae. The record is from RNAcentral.